GAUCAGUGGCUACGAGGACACGCUGGCGGCGUGCUUAACACAUGCAAGUCGAGGGUAGCAAUACACUGGCGCAAGGGUGCGUAACGCGUAGAUUAUCUGCCCCAUACACUAACAUAACGCUUGGAAACGGGUGCUAAUAUUAGAUGAGGUGCUUCGGCAUCAAAGUUUCGACGGUAUGGGAUGAGUCUGCGUCUGAUUAGCUAGUUGGUAGUGUAAUGGACUACCAAGGCGACGAUCAGUAGCUGGUCUGAGAGGACGAUCAGCCACACUGGAACUGAGACACGGUCCAGACUCCUACGGGAGGCAGCAGUGAGGAAUUUUGCGCAAUGGACGAAAGUCUGACGCAGCGACGCCGCGUGUGGGAUGAAGGGGCUACGCCCUGUAAACCACUGUUAGAUGUGAAAAAAAGAUGGCUUUGCCGUCCGGGAUUGUAACAUCAAAGAAAGGACCGGCUAACUACGUG
RNAcentral lists this ribosomal RNA (463 nucleotides) under uncultured bacterium. RNAcentral's name for it is "bacterial SSU rRNA". It matches the Rfam family "Bacterial small subunit ribosomal RNA", at positions 33 to 507 of the family's 1533-position model. The record is from RNAcentral.